ACUCAGUAAUGUGCUUUUGGA
RNAcentral lists this microRNA (21 nucleotides) under Picea abies (Norway spruce). RNAcentral's name for it is "pab-miR11422b". The record is from miRBase by way of RNAcentral. Lineage: Eukaryota; Viridiplantae; Streptophyta; Pinopsida; Pinales; Pinaceae.